RNAcentral lists this long non-coding RNA (387 nucleotides) under Manihot esculenta (cassava). Its description in RNAcentral is "long non-coding RNA (MESC_LNC006098)". Lineage: Eukaryota; Viridiplantae; Streptophyta; Magnoliopsida; Malpighiales; Euphorbiaceae. The record is from RNAcentral.
UCACAUAAACGUGAAAUUAAUUCACCAAUAAAUAACUCUACUACUAAAAAAAUAUGUGGAGAAAAUAGGCAAAAAUCAAUUUAUUUAUGAACUAUAGCAUCUUGAAUCAUCUUCACCUUCUUCUUAGAGAAAUAAAACAAGAAACAGCAGCAAAAAUAAUGGCCAUAGCAAUGGAACUCACAUCAUCAAUAAUGGCUGCAAAUCUCAUUUCUUGAAGAUCCCAAAGAGUUGAAACACAUAUACACAACCCUUCAACUACUACUAUCAACACUGCCAUUGCUUCUGCUGCCUCUGCCUCUGCCUAUCAACACAUUUAACUUCAGCAGAAAAAUUUAAAGAAAAAAAAAAGAAUGCCAAAAUAAGAUAAAAAAAGAAUUUGAAAUUGAU